This 253-nucleotide ribosomal RNA is filed under the name uncultured bacterium. Its description in RNAcentral is "partial 16S ribosomal RNA". It matches the Rfam family "Bacterial small subunit ribosomal RNA", at positions 524 to 776 of the family's 1533-position model. The record is from RNAcentral.
UACGGGGGGGGCAAGCGUUGUUCGGAAUUACUGGGCGUAAAGGGCUCGUAGGCGGCCAACUAAGUCGGAUGUGAAAUCCCCAGGCUUAACCUGGGAACUGCAUCCGAUACUGGAUGGCUUGAAUCCGGGAGAGGGAUGCAGAAUUCCAGGUGUAGCGGUGAAAUGCGUAGAUAUCUGGAGGAGUACCGGUGGCGAAGGCGGCAUCCUGGACCGGCAUUGACGCUGAGGUGCGAAAGCGUGGGGAGCAAACAGG